CAGUAGCCGCGGGAAUACGUAGGGUGCGAGCGUUAAUCGGAAUUACUGGGCGUAAAGCGUGCGCAGGCGGUUCGUUAAGACAGAUGUGAAGUCCCCGGGCUUAACCUGGGAACUGCAUUUGUGACUGGCGAGCUAGAGUAUGGCAGAGGGGGGUAGAAUUCCACGUGUGGCAGUGAAAUGCGUAGAGAUGUGGAGGAAUACCGAUGGCGAAGGCAGCCCCCUGGGCCAAUACUGACGCUCAUGCACGAAAGCGUGGGGAGCAAACAGGAUUAGAUACCCGCGUAGUCCCUGUCUCUUAUAC
RNAcentral lists this ribosomal RNA (301 nucleotides) under uncultured bacterium. Its description in RNAcentral is "partial 16S ribosomal RNA". It matches the Rfam family "Bacterial small subunit ribosomal RNA", at positions 509 to 807 of the family's 1533-position model. The record is from RNAcentral.